GACAGAGGGUGCAAACGUUGUUCGGAAUUACUGGGCGUAAAGCGCGUGUAGGCAGCUUGGCAAGUCGGGUGUGAAAGCCCUGGGCUCAACCUAGGAAGUGCACUCGAAACUGCUUCGCUUGAGUAUCGGAGAGGAAAGCGGAAUUCUCGGUGUAGAGGUGAAAUGCGUAGAUAUCGAGAGGAACACCUGCGGCGAAGGCGGGUUGCUGGGCUGACACUGACGCUGAGGCGCGAAAGCUAGGGGAGCGAACGGG
This 253-nucleotide ribosomal RNA is filed under the name uncultured bacterium. RNAcentral's name for it is "partial 16S ribosomal RNA". It matches the Rfam family "Bacterial small subunit ribosomal RNA", at positions 524 to 776 of the family's 1533-position model. The record is from RNAcentral.